AUAUCAAUAAGCGGAGGAAAAGAAACCAACAGGGAUUGCCUCAGUAACGGCGAGUGAAGCGGCAAUAGCUCAAAUUUGAAAUCUGGCUCCUUCGGGGUCCGAGUUGUAAUUUGUAGAGGAUGUUUCGGGCGAGGGGCCGGUCUAAGUCUCUUUGAACGGGGCGUCAUAGAGGGUGAGAAUCCCGUAUGUGACCGGUGACUGAGCCCAUGUGAAACUCCUUCGACGAGUCGAGUUGUUUGGGAAUGCAGCUCAAAAUGGGUGGUAAAUUUCAUCUAAAGCUAAAUACCGGCCAGAGACCGAUAGCGCACAAGUAGAGUGAUCGAAAGAUGAAAAGCACUUUGGAAAGAGAGUCAAAAAGUACGUGAAAUUGUUGAAAGGGAAGCGCUUGCAACCAGACCUGCCCGCGGGUGAUCAACCGUCCUUCUGGGCGAUGCACUCGCCCGCGAUCAGGCCAGCAUCGGUUCGGGCGGUCGGAUAAAGGCCUUGGGAACGUAGCUCCUUUCGGGGAGUAUUAUAGCCCUCGGUGCAAUGCGGCCAGCCUGGACCGAGGACCGCGCUUCGGCUAGGAUGCUGGCGUAAUGGUUGUAAGCGGCCCGUCUUGAAACACGGACCAAGGAGUCUAACAUCUAUGCGAGUGUUUGGGUGGUCAAAGCCCAUACGCGUAAUGAAAGUGAACGGAGGUGGGAACCCGUUAGGGCGCACCAUCGACCGAUCCAGAUGUCUUCGGAUGGAUUUGAGUACGAGCAUAGCUGUUGGGACCCGAAAGAUGGUGAACUAUGCCUGAAUAGGGUGAAGCCAGAGGAAACUCUGGUGGAGGCUCGCAGCGGUUCUGACGUGCAAAUCGAUCGUCAAAUUUGGGUAUAGGGGCGAAAGACUAAUCGAACCAUCUAGUAGCUGGUUCCCGCCGAAGUUUCCCUCAGGAUAGCAGUAACGUUUUCAGUUUUAUGAGGUAAAGCGAAUGAUUAGAGGCCUUGGGGAUGCAACAUCCUUAACCUAUUCUCAAACUUUAAAUAUGUAAGAAGUCCUUGUUACUUAGUUGAACGUGGACAUUUGAAUGCACCGUUACUAGUGGGCCAUUUUUGGUAAGCAGAACUGGCGAUGCGGGAUGAACCGAACGUGAGGUUAAGGUGCCGGAAUGCACGCUCAUCAGACACCACAAAAGAUGUCAGUUCAUCUAGACAGCCGGACGGUGGCCAUGGAAGUCGGAAUCCGCCAAGGAGUGUGUAACAACUCACCGGCCGAAUGAACUGGCUCUGAAAAUGGAUGGCGCUCAAGCGUGCUACCUAUACCUCGCCGCCAGGGUAGAAACGAUGCCCUGGCGAGUAGGCGGGCGUGGAGGUCCGUGACGAAGCCUUGGGGGUGACCCCGGGUCGAACGGCCUCUAGUGCAGAUCUUGGUGGUAGUAA
Molecule: ribosomal RNA, 1406 nt
Filed under: Gallowayella borealis
Lineage: Eukaryota; Fungi; Ascomycota; Lecanoromycetes; Teloschistales; Teloschistaceae
Description: eukaryotic LSU rRNA
Rfam family: Eukaryotic large subunit ribosomal RNA
Source: RNAcentral